Non-coding RNA from Terramyces sp. JEL0728, 82 nucleotides. The record is from the annotation of a GenBank genome assembly. Lineage: Eukaryota; Fungi; Chytridiomycota; Chytridiomycetes; Rhizophydiales; Terramycetaceae.
GACAACGUGGCCGAGCGGUUAAGGCGACAGACUUGAAAUCUGUUCCACUUUGUGGUCGCAGGUUCAAGUCCUGCCGUUGUCG